RNAcentral lists this ribosomal RNA (493 nucleotides) under uncultured bacterium. Its description in RNAcentral is "partial 16S ribosomal RNA". It matches the Rfam family "Bacterial small subunit ribosomal RNA", at positions 29 to 507 of the family's 1533-position model. The record is from RNAcentral.
ACGAACGCUGGCGGCGUGCUUUACACAUGCAAGUCGAACGGUGAAUCGCCUUCCUUUUUGGUGGGUGUGGAUGAGUGGCGAACGGGUGAGUAACACGUGAGUAACCUGCCCCCUUCUUCUGGAUAACCGCAUGAAAGUGUGGCUAAUACGGGAUAUUCUGGGUCUGUCGCAUGAUGGGUCUGGGAAAGAUAUUGCUUCGGUGGGGGUUGGUCUCGCGGCCUAUAAGUUUGUUGGUGGGGGAAUGGCCUACCAAGGCGGUGACGGGUAGCGUGCCUGGGAGGGUUGACUUGCUAACUGGGACUGAGACGCGACCCAGACUCCUGCGAGAGGCAGCAGAGGGGAAUAUUGCACAAUAGGCGAAAGACUGUUGCAGCGACGCCGCGUGAGGGAUGGAGGCCUUCGUGUUAUAAACCUCUUUCGCCAGUGAAGCAGGCCUGCCUCGUUUGUGGGUGGGUUGACGGUAGCUGGAGAAGAAGCGCCGGCUAACUACGUG